CCCUUAGAUGUUCUGGGCCGCACGCGCGCUACACUGAUGCAUUCAACGAGUCUAAAACCUGCUCUGAUAGGGGUGGGUAAUCUUUUGAAUGUGCAUCGUGAUUGGGAUAGAUGAUUGCAAUUUUUCAUCUUCAACGAGGAAUGCCUAGUAAACGCAAGUCAUCAGCUUGCAUUGAUUACGUCCCUGCCCUUUGUACACACCGCCCGUCGCUCCUACCGAUUGAAUGAUCCGAUGAAUUUCAUGGAUUGAGGAUGUAAGCAGGUUCGCCUGUCUUCAUCUUCGAGAAGUGAAGUAAAUCUUAUCAUUUAGAGGAAGGAGAAGUCGUAACA
This 329-nucleotide ribosomal RNA is filed under the name uncultured eukaryote. RNAcentral describes it as "partial 18S ribosomal RNA". It matches the Rfam family "Eukaryotic small subunit ribosomal RNA", at positions 1470 to 1796 of the family's 1831-position model. The record is from RNAcentral.